UUUGCCUACGGGACGCAGCAGUGGGGAAUAUUGGGCAAUGGGCGCAAGCCUGACCCAGCAACGCCGCGUGAAGGAAGAAGGCUUUCGGGUUGUAAACUUCUUUUCUCAGGGACGAAGCAAGUGACGGUACCUGAGGAAUAAGCCACGGCUAACUACGUGCCAGCAGCCGCGGUAAUACGUAGGUGGCAAGCGUUAUCCGGAUUUACUGGGUGUAAAGGGCGUGUAGGCGGGAAAGCAAGUCAGAUGUGAAAACCACGGGCUCAACCCAUAACCUGCAUUUGAAACUGUAGUUCUUGAGUGAUGGG
This 305-nucleotide ribosomal RNA is filed under the name uncultured bacterium. Its description in RNAcentral is "bacterial SSU rRNA". It matches the Rfam family "Bacterial small subunit ribosomal RNA", at positions 334 to 653 of the family's 1533-position model. The record is from RNAcentral.